GAUGAAGAACGUAGCGAAAUGCGAUAAGUAAUGUGAAUUGCAGAAUUCAGUGAAUCAUCGAAUCUUUGAACGCACAUUGCGCCCCCUGGUAUUCCGGGGGGCAUGCCUGUUCGAGCGUCAUUUCAACCCUCAAGCUCUGCUUGGUAUUGAGUCCAUGUCAGCAAUGGCAGGCUCCAAAAUCAGUGGCGGCGCCGCUGGGUCCUGAACGUAGUAAUAUCUCUCGUUACAGGUGCUCGGCGUGCUUCUGCCAAAACCCCAAUUUUUCUAUGGUUGACCUCGGAUCAGGUAGGGAUACCCGCUGAACUUAAGCAUAUAAUAACGGAGGA
This 326-nucleotide unclassified non-coding RNA is filed under the name soil metagenome. Its description in RNAcentral is "partial contains 5.8S ribosomal RNA, internal transcribed spacer 2, and large subunit ribosomal RNA". The stretch from base 1 to 120 matches the Rfam family "5.8S ribosomal RNA", at positions 35 to 154 of the family's 154-position model. The record is from RNAcentral.